This 429-nucleotide ribosomal RNA is filed under the name Chloroflexota bacterium. Its description in RNAcentral is "Chloroflexi bacterium partial 16S ribosomal RNA". It matches the Rfam family "Bacterial small subunit ribosomal RNA", at positions 355 to 776 of the family's 1533-position model. The record is from RNAcentral. Lineage: Bacteria; Bacillati; Chloroflexota.
UGGGGAAUAUUGCACAAUGGGCGCAAGCCUGAUGCAGCCAUGCCGCGUGUAUGAAGAAGGCCUUCGGGUUGUAAAGUACUUUCAGCGGGGAGGAAGGGAGUAAAGUUAAUACCUUUGCUCAUUGACGUAACCCGCAGAAGAAGCACCGGCUAACUCCGUGCCAGCAGCCGCGGUAAUACGGAGGGUGCAAGCGUUAAUCGGAAUUACUGGGCGUAAAGCGCACGCAGGCGGUUUGUUAAGUCAGAUGUGAAAUCCCCGGGCUCAACCUGGGAACUGCAUCUGAUACUGGCAAGCUUGAGUCUCGUAGAGGGGGGUAGAAUUCCAGGUGUAGCGGUGAAAUGCGUAGAGAUCUGGAGGAAUACCGGUGGCGAAGGCGGCCCCCUGGACGAAGACUGACGCUCAGGUGCGAAAGCGUGGGGAGCAAACAGG